UAAUUUAUUUUGACUUUGAGUGUGGAAGUGAGUCGUAAGGAGAGAAUUAUACUCGAGAUAAUAUAAAAUUCCUUUAAAUUGAGUUGUUUUAUAAACAUGAGGCUAUGUUACUUUAAUAACUUAAUAACAAUGUAUUAUGUUGCUAAAUUUUUAUUAUUAUUAUUUUUUGGUAUAAAUCAAGUAUAUUCUCCUUAAUUCCUCUAACCUUGUAUCACCAUAUUAGGUGACAAAUUCUCUUUGAGAUUUGAC
This 249-nucleotide long non-coding RNA is filed under the name Lathyrus oleraceus (garden pea). RNAcentral describes it as "Pisum sativum (pea) long non-coding RNA (PSAT_LNC014917)". The record is from RNAcentral. Lineage: Eukaryota; Viridiplantae; Streptophyta; Magnoliopsida; Fabales; Fabaceae.